RNAcentral lists this long non-coding RNA (831 nucleotides) under Helianthus annuus (common sunflower). The record is from RNAcentral. Lineage: Eukaryota; Viridiplantae; Streptophyta; Magnoliopsida; Asterales; Asteraceae.
UAGGGUGGUCACUCGCGUAGCGCGACGCCUAAGGGGGUACCCCCUCGCGCUACGCGACGGUGUCAAAAUUUCAGUAUAAAUAGCAGGGGUUGGGACUUGAAUUUUGGCACUUGAACGACGAAAAUCGGAGUUACGUAGGUCGAGUUAUAAGCAAAACAGUCCAACACACACACACAAUUAUCGAAUCGCUGCCGCAAAACAGGGUAAUUAGUCGAUCGCUAUUACGAUUCAGUUUCCGGGAUCAAUAUACCCAAAGAAUGUCUAAGUGCCGCCCACAUUGGGCUAUGCUUUAUCGUUGUCGAUAAUUCGAUAAUGAGCCGAAGCAUUGUACUUUGUCGUUGUCGAUAAUUCGAUAUACGAGUUGAAGUACUAUACUUUGUCGUUUGUCAUUUUGAUAAAUGAGCUGAAGUAUUGCACUUGGACAUUCAUUGUAAAAAAUUGAUCUCGGGGAAUUAUCGUAACUGCUGUAUUGAUCAUUAACCUGGUUCUUGUAGAAUUCGUUAAGAGUUGAUUUAGGUUUUUCACCAAUACGUAUUCCAUUCUGUUAAACUACCAAGAAUACUCCCAACUACACCCUUACAAUCAAACAAACUAUUAAAUCAUCAGAAGAUCCAGAAUAAUAAAGUACAUGCUUAAUUAUCGGGAAAAGUAGAAUCAAGAAGUUUAUUAACUCAAUCCUGCAUGAUGAUUUGUAAUUACAAUAGAUUGGAGCAAGGAUUGGAUCCGACACUGAAGGACUUCAAGAAGUGGCUUAUUUUCAAAUUAAGAAAUAUUGUUUUUAUUAAAAGCUACCUUUGUAAAACAUGGAAUUUAUUCCAUCUUUUUAAAUAA